Molecule: ribosomal RNA, 429 nt
Filed under: Fusobacteriota bacterium
Lineage: Bacteria; Fusobacteriati; Fusobacteriota
Description: Fusobacteria bacterium partial 16S ribosomal RNA
Rfam family: Bacterial small subunit ribosomal RNA
Source: RNAcentral
UGGGGAAUCUUCCGCAAUGGACGCAAGUCUGACGGAGCAACGCCGCGUGAGUGAAGACGGCCUUCGGGUUGUAAAGCUCUGUUAUUCGGGAAGAACGAUUCGUUUGUGAACAAUGAACGGAAGUGACGGUACCGAAAGAGAAAGCCACGGCUAACUACGUGCCAGCAGCCGCGGUAAUACGUAGGUGGCAAGCGUUGUCCGGAAUUAUUGGGCGUAAAGAGCGCGUAGGCGGUAUGGUAAGUCUGUCUUAGAAGUGCGGGGCUUAACCCCGUGAGGGGACAGAGACUGUCAUACUGGAGUCUCGGAGAGGAAAGCGGAAUUCCUGGUGUGGCGGUGAAAUGCGUAGAGAUUAGGAAGAACACCGGUGGCGAAGGCGGCUUUCUGGACGAGCUCUGACGCUGAGGCGCGAAAGCGUGGGGAGCGAACAGG